Molecule: ribosomal RNA, 397 nt
Filed under: uncultured bacterium
Lineage: Bacteria
Description: partial 16S ribosomal RNA
Rfam family: Bacterial small subunit ribosomal RNA
Source: RNAcentral
AUACGUAGGGAGCGAGCGUUGUCCGGAAUUACUGGGUGUAAAGGGAGCGUAGGCGGGAGUGCAAGUCAGAUGUGAAAUCUCCCGGCUCAACCGGGAGCGUGCAUCUGAAACUGGUACACUUGAGUGCUGGAGGGGAAAGCGGAAUUCCUAGUGUAGCGGUAAAAUGCGUAGAGAUCGGGAGGAACACCAGUGGCGAAGGCGGGUAACUGGACUGCAACUGACGCUGAGGCGCGAAAGUGUGGGGAGCAAACAGGAUUAGAUACCCUGGUAGUCCACACUGUAAACGAUGAAUGCUAGGUGUAGGAGGUAUCGACCCCUUCUGUGCCGCAGUAAACACAGUAAGCAUUCCGCCUGGGGAGUACGGUCGCAAGAUUAAAACUCAAAUGAAUUGACGGGG